Long non-coding RNA from Hemicordylus capensis (graceful crag lizard), 804 nucleotides. RefSeq lists it as uncharacterized. The record is from RefSeq and is a predicted model, not a curated record. Lineage: Eukaryota; Metazoa; Chordata; Lepidosauria; Squamata; Cordylidae. The transcript is spliced from 3 exons.
GGAGAUUUCAAGAAAUGGAGAGAUUUUUUUGUUGUUCUAAUUGGAUGGCUUAAAAAAAAAGUGGGAAGCCACAUGGCUCUCAGCGGUUCUCACACGCACAGUGGGAGAAUAGCUGGGAGAAUAGCUUCUGAGUCCUGGAAGUCAGUCAGCUGGAGGGACAUACUCAGCUGAAAUCACUAAGAAGGAAAAGAAGAACCAGGUUGGAUUAAGCCCCAGACCUGUGCUGUAAUCAGAACCACCCAGCAAUCCAGAAGCUGACAAGAAAGCACAGAGGCCUCUGAGUAGAGUCCCGUAUGGAGUCAGUACAGAACUCCAAGGCCCACUAGAAAAUUGUGUGUGAAGAAGAUGACAACUGUGGAAUCCUGGCACCUAUCCACUUUCCUACUUUUUAUUCAUUUGGAAUAGGCAGAAACACACCAAUGCUACUGACAGCCCAUGUACUGACUGUGGAAACCUUAGCCUGAUGCUGGGUGACACGGAAGGAAGAAUGGCUUAAGGAAGCAGAUUGACCGGCUCUGGCUGCCUACCACUAACAAUCUGUGAACAUGGCUGGCAGGCAUCCUGUGGUCGAAGCCUCUCAAGGGAUUAUUUGCGGAUCCAAGGGAAGAAAAGGAGGGAAUCCCAAAGAUGCUGCACAACCAAUAAGCAGCUCUUCACCCAGUCAUAAAACCUCUUGCCUGACAUGUUUUGCACUUAAGAGAACUCUUUAUUUAGAGGCAAUUCUACUGUAUAGUAUGAUAUUUUUCUUUGGGAAUCAAUCCUGCACUGAGAUUAAAUAAAGAACUGACCACUAGCUAUGCAGCA